UUCCAAGUUCUUAGGAUUUUGUCGGGCC
This 28-nucleotide small RNA is filed under the name Bombyx mori (domestic silkworm). RNAcentral's name for it is "ovarian small RNA-37103". The record is from RNAcentral. Lineage: Eukaryota; Metazoa; Arthropoda; Insecta; Lepidoptera; Bombycidae.